CUUAAACCCAGGAGGCGGAGGUUGCAGUGAGACGAGAUUGCGCCAUUGCACUCCAGCCUGGGUGGCAGAGUGAGACUCCACCUCAAAAAAAAGAAAAAAGGAAAACCAAGCAAAAGUCACUGUCAGGGGACCUCCCACCCACCAUACAGGGGAACACUCGGCAGAGCCAGAGGCCUGGGCCCAAGUCCUGCCACCAGCUGGCUGUGAAACUGUGGUACAGCACCUUGUGUCCUGCCACCAGCCGGCUGUGAAACUGGUACAGCACCUUGUCCUCAGGUCCUUGGUUUCCUCACUUGUAAAUUCAUGGUUCUCCAUGGCAUCUCUGGUCUUCAACAUUAUUUUGCAUAGAGUCUCAGAAGCUUUAGUGUGAGCGGAUGAUAUGGGCACGAAGCAAGGCACCCAGAAGUGGGGGCAACUACUCUGCUUUCUAAAAUGCAAGGGAACCGGAAAAUCCAGGAGCCGUGCCAAAUGAGAAGAGGAACAAAUGGAGGAACAUCCCAGUCAAGUGACAUUCCUAGUGACAUUCACCAGAACAGAGUCAAGCUUUGGAUCCCAUGUUCUGUGACUUCCUCUUCACCACGCUUCCUCCACACACGUAGCAGCUCAAGGGUUUCUGAUGAGUGGGGAAAUGACUUACUGCAAAGAACCACUCUUCCCCACGAGACUUCGAGAAGACCCGCUGUCACGGACUGAGUUGUGUCCUCUUAAAAUUCAGAUGUUGGAGUCCAAACCCCCAGUAACUCAGAGUGUGAACGUAUUUGAAGAGGUCUUUAAAGAGGUGAUGAAGGUAAAAUGAAGUCACUAGGGUGGGCCCUAAUCCAACCUGACAGGUGUCCUCAUAAGUAGAGGAGAUGAGGACACAGACACAUGGAGGAAAGACCAUGUGGGGACACAGGGAGAAGAUGGCUGAGGGGAGAGGCCAGAGGAGAAACCAGCCCUGGGAGAGAGACCCCAUGAGCUCGUCAAGCUCCUUCUGUGACUGAUCAGAGAUCCCACCGUGAGUCCAGCUCCUGGUCCCAUGCUCUGGAUAUAUCGGUCCCUGGCAGCGUGAGUGCCUCUGUGUUCACUGUCCCAUUUGAGAAUUCUAAGUAGAAUUCUGAACAGGCUGGAGCAGAUUGCCCACCCCAAGGGACAGAUGUUGGCUGGUACUGUUGGUAUUCAUGGAAGAUUCCUUCUGACACUCCCUCCUUCUUUGUAAUUGCCAUGAACUGGAGCACUGGGCCAAUAUAAAUCAUCCAAGGGUGAACACGCUGCACAUGGACGGCUCCUCUUUGUUUUUGAAGGGAUUCCAUCUCUAUUUUGCCAUGUGCUCCUUCACCCCACUCCCCACCCCCGUCUUUCAUUUCUUUCUCUGGAAAAGAUACUUCAACUCACAGGACUGCGAUGUUGAAACGGACACCCAAGAGCAUCACAGAUGGGCCAGGCCUGGACCUCUCGGGACAACAUUCCUCACGACUUUUAGAUAGAAGAGAUUAGAGAUUUGGGACUGGUGGCAACUGGUAACGUUUUCAGUGUUUGGUAAACAGCCAGGGUCCGGAGCUCUGGGAACAGCCUGAUUUAGCUCUUUGUUUAAGUUUUGUGUUAGAGGCUCCCAAGAAGCUGAUGCAGGGGAAAGAAAUUAACAACCAUGGCUCAUUCACAGCCAGGCAGCCAAAUGGACAGCUCUAUAAGACUCAAGCCGACAGCGGAGAGAGUGCAACCAAACAGCCUUGGCCCAGCUUUCAGAGGAGAACGUUAUUCACCCCAACUGCUCUGCAUCUGCCUGGAUGUCUGCCAAGAUCUGUGAGCAUUACAGCGUUGCAGUCUUCUUUCCACCAAUGACCCCUCGCGCUGCUUCCAGAAGCCAAGAAAGUGGGCUUUGUCCUUGGGGAUUUAGGAGGCGGAGCGGCGCCCCCUUGAGGCCACAUGGUGGAGGCAGCGAUGAGACCUGGAGUCUAAAAUUCAGACUGAAUCACAGGAAGAAGCUAUUUACACAAGUCAAACAUGGUCCAAUCUUGGCAAUUUCAUAAGGUUCCAAUCCUUAAGGGAUCAAAACCUGGCCAACUGCUUCCACCGAGAGGUGUGCCUUUCAAUGCCAGGCUUGGAGUGUCCCUCUUUAUUUAAAAAGGAGAGGAUUCCACAGCAGAGCUUCUCAAACUCUUCCACCCAAAUCCCCUCACCACAGAGGGACAGGAGUCCUGGGCAUGUAGCCUAAAGCAGCCAGGAGAAAAAAACCUUGACCUUAAUUUUUUUAAUGAUUUCACAUGAAUCAGUGGAAUGUGUUUAUGAUAAAAUCAUCUCCUCCUGAAAUACAUGUGUAAAACUGCUGCCCCAGUUAAACGCACUUAGUCUAACCAAGCCCUAGGAUUGGCCUCUCCAGCAUGAGAAGCAUUUCCAGCACUCCAGCUCCCCAGCUCCCACUCUGGGAUCCCACCUCAGACCCUCCCACUUCCUUGCACUCUGGCCUCUCGCUCUUGACCCUGCUCCCGCCACGCUCUUUCCUCAGAGUCCAUCAGUCCUGUCUUGUCUUCACCUUGGUCUCUGCCAAGUGUGGGUCCAAGUCAUAUAUUUGGGCUGUGAUCACAGGAACCCCAAGCCCCAGACCUCCCAAAGCACCCUAUGGAGAGACCUUACCCUCCUGGACAGACCCUCUCCCCCCAGCUAGACCUCAUCCUCUGGGUAGACCCAUCUCCCCAACCAGAACUCACCCUCCUGAGUAAACCCCAUCCCCCUAGCUAGACUUCAUCCUCCUGGACAGAUCCCAUCCCCCCAGCUAGACCUCACCCUCUUGGGUAGAUGCAUCUCCCCAACCAGAACUCUCCUGGGUAGACCCCUUCUACCCAGCUAGACCUGAUCCUCUGGACAGACCCCAUCAUCCCAGCUAGACUUCUCCCUCCUGGACUGUCCCCAUCCCCCCUCCAGCCAGACCUCACCCCUCUGGGUAGACCCCAUCCCCCCAACUAGACCUCACCCUCCUGGAUGGACUCUACCCUCCUGGAGAUACCUUCCCCUCCUGGGUACAUCCCACGUGGCUACACACUCCUUCCCCUGUCAGCUUUCUCCCCCAGGGUUCUGGGCAGCAGAGUCUGUGAUAAAGGAUACUAAGUGAUUCCCCAAUACUUCCCGUUUCCAGCCUCCAGUGGGCUCUCCCUGGGGCUAACGGUUCUUUUUGCUAUUUCUCCAGGCUUUGCCUGAUGACAAGUAUACUCUGAGAGUGUCCUAAUGAUACAGAUUUUGGACCCUAUCCCAGUUCUACUGAAUCCAAGUCUCUGGGGGAGGAGUUGGGGCUCUGCAUCUGGACACCUUCCUGCAGGGUCCCUCCUGGGAGGCAAGCCCGGGGAGCACCGCUGAGGCUCGCCUCAGUGCCCAUCCUAGACCUUCAGCAGCUAGCAGAGGAUGUCCCCACCAUCCCUCAGCCCACACUCCCACUGUCGCCCCAGCCAGGCUUGGCACUGCCUCCUUUCUCAGAAGAUUAAGACCAUCUGCUGUUUCCCAAGUUUCCCACCCUCCACCCUAAAAAUUUCUCCGUUUCCCAGUCUUUCCUCGUCUCUCAGAAAAUAAACAUCUUCCCAGGCUGCCUCCCCAGUGGGUCUGCACUCCUUGCUGUCUUCCCAGCACCUGCCCUUCCAGCCCGCCCUCUGUGUGUCCAGUGUUUCCCUCACCAAAGGACUCGCUUUGUUUUUCAAAUUGGAGGUUUUGUCUUCUCCCUAAAAACCAAAACAUCUCCCUGAGAAGUAACUCCCUCAAGCUACUGAUACGGAAGGGGGGCGGGGAAGUGCUGGGAAGGGAAGGGUGUGGUCCCUGGCUAGGGCUCCACCCCCGGGCCUGUGCCCACAGACCUAGGUGAGGACAGGCAUUUCUGUUUUCGUGCUUAAAUGUUGGAUUUCCCAAGACUACCCUGGCCUACCACACCCUCAUUCUGUGCCUGUAAAAAAACCUGAGAGCUUAGCAGGCACGCACACAAGCCUCUGGACGUCAAGAGGAACACACCGGUGUAAGAGCAGACUGAUAGUGGCCCACGGCAGGCUGGCAGGCCAUCGACAGGCAGAACCACUCAGUGCAGCUGGAGGACAGCCUGGCCACGGAGCGGUCCGACUUCAGAGGGGAAAACCACCUCCCCACUCCGUCUCCCUUCUGGCUCCCCCAUCUGAGAGCUACUUCCACUCAAUAAAACCUUGCACUCAUUCUCCAAGCCCAUGUGUGAUCUGAUUCUUUUGGUGCACGGAGGCAAGAAACCUCAGGAUACAGAAAGCCUCUGUCCUUGGAAUAAGGCAGGAGGUCUAACAGCUGACUAGGGAUGGCUCAACUGAAACAGCAUCCUGUAACACAGGCCCAUUGGGACCUCAGGAGCUGUAAACAUUCACCCUUAGACAUUGCUGUGGGGUUGGAGCCCCACCACCUGCCCAUCUGCAUGCUCCCCCUACAGGUUUGAGCAGCGGGGCACAGAAGAAGCCAGCCACACCUCCAUCGCAAGCCCUGCCACGGGGAUAAGGGAACUUUUCCCGUUUUGCCACCAGCUCAAGCCCCGCCUUCCUGUCACUCCACACUCUUCAUCUCUGUGUAUGGGUGUGGUCUUCCUCAGUUCCUUCUCUGGCCUCACACAGUGCCCUGAAUAAUGCUUUGCAAGGCCUUUGCCAGGAGCCUAGGUGAAAGGCAGAAGAGGUGCCCCUGCAGCAUCGCAAGGUAGAGAUCGUGGUUACAAGAUGGGGACUAGACUCCCAGUUUGCCCUUGGACUGGGCAGCCCCUUGGAUUUUGUUUUCCCUGACGUUGCUGUUCUGAUCCAAGGCCUUGUGGCCUCGCUACAGACACCCAAGGCCAGGCCUAUCUUUGCAUGAAUAACUAAAGAAAGCCUAGAGGAUGAGUAAAAUGACCACACUGUAUGGCUUUGGAGGACUGGAAGUUACUGAGGACUAUGAGUGGGUUUUUUGCAUAGACUGCAGUAAAGGUCCUCAGAAAAGACCCUCAAGAGCUAUGGGGGGGUCUGGUCAAAUGCCACUUCUAGACUGGACUCCAAAACUGGUGCUGAUUAUUUUCACUCCUACCCCACCCACCAGCCUGAUAGGCGAUUCCUGAAGUAGCAGUGGGGCGCUCAGUGGUGCUCACCAGGCCCAGAGCUCAGUCCUUCCCCCAUUCUGCCUGAUGGGGCUUGUGUAACCAAGGAUGACAGAUGGGACAAUCCCUGUUGGUAAAGACUGAGUUGAUUCUGACCAGGACCAGAGAUAAAACCCAGCACCUUUAUCUUUCCCCUUUGUACCUUCUUCAGAAAGACCUUCUUCUGCAGCAGUUCUGGAACUGUGAUCUGUGAGGUGUGGUUGCAAGAAUUCUUUAUUUUUUUAUUUUAUUUUUUUCAGACAAAGUCUCACUCUGUCGCCCAGGCUGGAGUGCAAUGGUGCGAUCUCGGCCCACUGCAACCUCCGCCUCCCAGGUUCAAAUGAUUCUCCUGCCUCAGCCUCCUGAGUAGCUGGGAUUACAAGCAUGUGCCUCCACGUCCAGCUAAUUUUUGUAUUUUUAGCAGAGACGGGGUUUCAUCAUGUUGGUCAGGCUAGUCUCAAACUCUUGACCUCAUGAUACACCUGCCUUGGCCUCCUGAAGUGCUGGGAUUACAGGCGUAAGCCACCACGCCUGGCCUGGCAAGAAUUCUUUUAUAAAGAAUUCUAGGUCUAUUAAACCCAGAUUCUUCAACUAGAACAGGCACACAGGAAAAAGGUUCACUAAAAACCCUGUUCUCUUGCCUCAUUUUGGUGAUUUCCAGCUAGGCUGUUGGGAUAGGCAUAUGUAAGUGUCACUUCCAUCUUUUCAUAGGUAUCUCACAGAAUCUCUGACCAAUGGAGAGCUAAUCAAAGACAAGUUUAAUAGGUGAAG
Molecule: long non-coding RNA, 5842 nt
Filed under: Homo sapiens (human)
Lineage: Eukaryota; Metazoa; Chordata; Mammalia; Primates; Hominidae
Description: HSALNT0100694
Source: RNAcentral